RNAcentral lists this ribosomal RNA (408 nucleotides) under fungal sp. RNAcentral's name for it is "eukaryotic LSU rRNA". It matches the Rfam family "Eukaryotic large subunit ribosomal RNA", at positions 180 to 592 of the family's 3401-position model. The record is from RNAcentral. Lineage: Eukaryota; Fungi.
UCCGAGUUCCCUGGAACGGGACGCCAUAGAGGGUGAGAGCCCCGUCUGGUUGGAUGCCAAAUCUCUGUAAAGUUCCUUCAACGAGUCGAGUAGUUUGGGAAUGCUGCUCUAAAUGGGAGGUAUAUUGUCUUCUAACAGCUAAAUACCGGCCAGGAGACCGAUAGCGCACAAGUAGAGUGAUCGAUAAGAUGAAAAGCACUCUUGAAAAGAGAGUUAAAAAGUACGUAAAUUGUUGAAAGGAAGCGUAUUAUGACCAGACUUGGGCUUGGUUAAUCAUCUUGGGUUCUCCCCAGUGCACUUUCCAGUCCAGGCCAGCAUCAGUUUUCCCCGGGGAUAAUAGGCGGCGGGAAUGUGCUCUCUUCGGGGAGUCGUUAUAGCCCACCGGUAAUACCUGGGGGACUGAGGUUC